AUGAAGAACGUAGCGAAAUGCGAUAAGUAGUGUGAAUUGCAGAAUUCAGUGAAUCAUCGAAUCUUUGAACGCACAUUGCGGCCAUAGGUAUUCCUUUGGCCAUGCCUGUUCGAGCGUCAUUUACACCCUCAAGCCUAGCUUGGUGUUGGGCGUCUGUCCCGCCGUUCUCGCGCGCGGACUCGCCUCAAAGUCAUUGGCGGCGGUCGUGCCGGCCCCCUCGCGCAGCACAUUUGCGCUUCUCGGAGGCCCGGCGGAUCCGCGCUCCAGCAAGACCUUUCACGACUUGACCUCGGAUCAGGUAGGGAUACCCGCUGAACUUAAGCAUAUCAAUAAGCGGAGGA
This 341-nucleotide unclassified non-coding RNA is filed under the name soil metagenome. Its description in RNAcentral is "partial contains 5.8S ribosomal RNA, internal transcribed spacer 2, and large subunit ribosomal RNA". The stretch from base 1 to 119 matches the Rfam family "5.8S ribosomal RNA", at positions 36 to 154 of the family's 154-position model. The record is from RNAcentral.